RNAcentral lists this ribosomal RNA (1369 nucleotides) under uncultured bacterium. RNAcentral describes it as "bacterial SSU rRNA". It matches the Rfam family "Bacterial small subunit ribosomal RNA", at positions 28 to 1381 of the family's 1533-position model. The record is from RNAcentral.
GACGAACGCUGGCGGCGUGCCUAAUACAUGCAAGUAGAACGCUGAAGAGAGGAGCUUGCUCUUCUUGGAUGAGUUGCGAACGGGUGAGUAACGCGUAGGUAACCUGCCUGGUAGCGGGGGAUAACUAUUGGAAACGAUAGCUAAUACCGCAUAAAAUUGAUUAUUGCAUGAUAAUUAAUUGAAAGAUGCAAUUGCAUCACUACCAGAUGGACCUGCGUUGUAUUAGCUAGUUGGUGAGGUAACGGCUCACCAAGGCGACGAUACAUAGCCGACCUGAGAGGGUGAUCGGCCACACUGGGACUGAGACACGGCCCAGACUCCUACGGGAGGCAGCAGCAGGGAAUCUUCGGCAAUGGGGGGAACCCUGACCGAGCAACGCCGCGUGAGUGAAGAAGGUUUUCGGAUCGUAAAGCUCUGUUGUAAGAGAAGAACGGGUGUGAGAGUGGAAAGUUCACACUGUGACGGUAUCUUACCAGAAAGGGACGGCUAACUACGUGCCAGCAGCCGCGGUAAUACGUAGGUCCCGAGCGUUGUCCGGAUUUAUUGGGCGUAAAGCGAGCGCAGGCGGUUAGAUAAGUCUGAAGUUAAAGGCUGUGGCUUAACCAUAGUAUGCUUUGGAAACUGUUUAACUUGAGUGCAGAAGGGGAGAGUGGAAUUCCAUGUGUAGCGGUGAAAUGCGUAGAUAUAUGGAGGAACACCGGUGGCGAAAGCGGCUCUCUGGUCUGUAACUGACGCUGAGGCUCGAAAGCGUGGGGAGCAAACAGGAUUAGAUACCCUGGUAGUCCACGCCGUAAACGAUGAGUGCUAGGUGUUAGGCCCUUUCCGGGGCUUAGUGCCGCAGCUAACGCAUUAAGCACUCCGCCUGGGGAGUACGACCGCAAGGUUGAAACUCAAAGGAAUUGACGGGGGCCCGCACAAGCGGUGGAGCAUGUGGUUUAAUUCGAAGCAACGCGAAGAACCUUACCAGGUCUUGACAUCCCUCUGACCGCUCUAGAGAUAGAGUUUUCCUUCGGGACAGAGGUGACAGGUGGUGCAUGGUUGUCGUCAGCUCGUGUCGUGAGAUGUUGGGUUAAGUCCCGCAACGAGCGCACCCCCUAUUGUUAGUUGCCAUCAUUGAGUUGGGCACUCUAGCGAGACUGCCGGUAAUAAACCGGAGGAAGGUGGGGAUGACGUCAAAUCAUCAUGCCCCUUAUGACCUGGGCUACACACGUGCUACAAUGGCUGGUACAACGAGUCGCAAGCCGGUGACGGCAAGCUAAUCUCUGAAAGCCAGUCUCAGUUCGGAUUGUAGGCUGCAACUCGCCUACAUGAAGUCGGAAUCGCUAGUAAUCGCGGAUCAGCACGCCGCGGUGAAUACGUUCCCGGGCCU